UAAUAUUCCAUUGUACAGGCUGCAUGUUUUUAUCACCUCAUUGUCGGUUAACAGUUGAAUUGUUUUAAUUCAUGACUCGAGAUUAAUGCUGUCAUCACCUUGAAGGAAACUUUGGGGAGGCAGAGUUUCAUUUCUCUUGGAAACAACGGGGCCAGCAGAGACAGAGCAAGUAUGAAGAGCCCUCUACAAGGCAACCAUCACCUCCUGACCGGCCUUUGCCUCCUGGUGACUUUGGGACUUCAGUGUGACUCUCACUAUAGGUGGGUGAAGCUGCCUAGGUAGCCCAAGAAGAUGGCCGUGUGUCCUCCGUGAACCCCUAUCCACCUGUCAAGAGCUAAUUGUGGAAUGACCAAGAAGUGACUCUCUGGAAUCUUCCAUGUGCGGCUGAGGCUACCUGCCUGGUGAAGUCAGGUAGACAUUUAGUCAUCAUCAGCCUCUGGAAGUCAAGGUCAACACAGUGUCCAGACCCCACCUCUCUGAAGGACAGGUCUCCCAUCCGCAGGAUGGACAUCAGGAUCACCAGGCAUCUCCAGAUGUCAUGAAAGCUGAACCACAGAUCCAGAGACCUUGGGUCCAGAAGAGACUUCUCUUUCCACAGAAAUACGAAGGCAAACAUUGAUUGUCACCCAAGGCCACGGCUUCCUUACUCCCAGAGCUGACUUGACACGUACCAGGACUGUAAUAAUAAAAACACGAGUCUUAAUGACCAUUCUGGAAG
Long non-coding RNA from Peromyscus eremicus (cactus mouse), 718 nucleotides. RefSeq lists it as uncharacterized. NCBI's taxonomy places the organism in Eukaryota, Metazoa, Chordata, Mammalia, Rodentia, Cricetidae. The record is from RefSeq and is a predicted model, not a curated record. The transcript has 4 exons.